UGGGGAAUAUUGCACAAUGGGCGCAAGCCUGAUGCAGCCAUGCCGCGUGUAUGAAGAAGGCUUUCGGGUUGUAAAGUACUUUUAUCGGGGAGGAAGGGAGUAAAGUUAACACCUUUGCCCAUUGACGUUACCCGCAGAAGAAGCACCGGCUAACUCCGUGCCAGCAGCCGCGGUAAUACGGAGGGUGCAAGCGUUAAUCGGAAUUACUGGGCGUAAAGCGCACGCAGGCGGUUUGUUAAGUCAGAUGUGAAAUCCCCGGGCUCAACCUGGGAACUGCAUCUGAAACUGGGAGACUUGAGUCUAGUAGAGGGGGGUAGAAUUCCAGGUGUAGCGGUGAAAUGCGUAGAGAUAUGGAGGAACACCGGUGGCGAAGGCGGCUCCCUGGACGAAGACUGACGCUCAGGUGCGAAAGCGUGGGGAGCAAACAGG
Molecule: ribosomal RNA, 429 nt
Filed under: Chloroflexota bacterium
Lineage: Bacteria; Bacillati; Chloroflexota
Description: Chloroflexi bacterium partial 16S ribosomal RNA
Rfam family: Bacterial small subunit ribosomal RNA
Source: RNAcentral